Labeo rohita (rohu) is the source of this 1095-nucleotide long non-coding RNA. RefSeq lists it as uncharacterized. The transcript is spliced from 3 exons. The record is from RefSeq and is a predicted model, not a curated record. NCBI's taxonomy places the organism in Eukaryota, Metazoa, Chordata, Actinopteri, Cypriniformes, Cyprinidae.
CACACAUCAGUACUGUCAAAGAUGUGCAGUUAUUUUAGCUCACAGUAGAGUUUCUCGUGACUUUACUACAGAUCAGCCUCACAUCAGCUCAUCUGUCAUUUUAUCACUGAACCAGUUUUGAAGAGUUUGACUUUUCAUAUUUGUGGACUGAAACCGUUGAAGAUGUUUCACAGAAUUUGGUUCUAUUUGUGGCAUCCAGUUGAUGAAAUAUCAAACGAAGGAGGAAAAUUCAGUCACUCUAAAUGCUCAUCGUACUGAAAUAUUGGAUGAUAAGACUCAGUGGAAGUUUAGUAGAGGAAACAUUUUAAUAGCUGAAAUCAAUAAAUUGGUUGACAGAUUCACUGUAUAUGAUGAUGUUGUUGAUGGAAGAUUUAGAGACACACUGAAGAUAGACAAUCAAACAGGAUCUCUGACUAUCACAAACAUCACAUGUGAACAUGAUAGACAUUAUGUACUACUAAUAGAGAGAGGUGUGAUAAACAAGUUAUUUAAAGCUUCCUGUGUUUCUGACUCUGUCCACUGUUGUGGUUCUACUGAAGUUGUGAUCUGAUUGGCCCUCUCUGCUUUGGUGGGCGAGGCUACUGUCAUUCUUCUGGUUUAUGACAUCAGAGCGGAACAAGAUCAAGCACAUAACUCCCAAACUCUGGAAUAAUCUACCUCCCACUGUUCGGGAGGCAGACUGUCAGUUUAAAUCUAGACAAUACAAUAGAAUACAAUUCAAAAUAGUUCACCAAAAACUGAAAAUUCUGUCAUCAUUUUGGACCAUUUUUUUUUUAUCUCCUUUUGUGGUCCAAAAAAAGAAAGAAAGGCACAUGGCUUUAGAACAACACAAGGCCAAGGCUAAGUAAAUGUUGACUCAAUUUUCAUUUUUUGGGUGAUCUAUCGCUUUAAGGAAAAUCAUUUAAUUUACUGUAAAUGUAUAUUGUAAAAAGAAAGUCAGUCUUACUGAUUUUUUUUUUUUAAACAACCGAAAAAAAGUCAUAAUUCCAAGUGCGUACUGAUCUCUCUCUCCAUUGAGGUUGGAUUCCUCCUACCAAAAUGAAUGCACAUAAAUGGGACAGCACAUAAAUAAAUGACAAGCAUACCAAAAACGUA